GACGAACGCUGGCGGCGUGCUUAACACAUGCAAGUCGAACGGAAAGGCCCUGCUUUUGUGGGGUGCUCGAGUGGCGAACGGGUGAGUAACACGUGAGUAACCUGCCCUUGACUUUGGGAUAACUUCAGGAAACUGGGGCUAAUACCGGAUAGGAGUUCCUGCUGCAUGGUGGGGGUUGGAAAGUUUCGGCGGUUGGGGAUGGACUCGCGGCUUAUCAGCUUGUUGGUGGGGUAGUGGCUUACCAAGGCUUUGACGGGUAGCCGGCCUGAGAGGGUGACCGGCCACAUUGGGACUGAGCUAAGGCCCAGACUACUACGGGAGGCAGAAGUGGGGAGGGUGGCACAGUGGGCGGAAGCAUGAUGCAGCACCGCCGCGUGGGGGAUGAGGGCCUUGGGGUUGUAAACCGAUUUCGCCUGUGACGAAGCGUGAGUGACGGUAAUGGGUAAAGAAGCACCGGCUAACUACGUG
Molecule: ribosomal RNA, 468 nt
Filed under: uncultured bacterium
Lineage: Bacteria
Description: partial 16S ribosomal RNA
Rfam family: Bacterial small subunit ribosomal RNA
Source: RNAcentral